This 606-nucleotide long non-coding RNA is filed under the name Nicotiana benthamiana. RNAcentral describes it as "long non-coding RNA (NBEN_LNC010067)". Lineage: Eukaryota; Viridiplantae; Streptophyta; Magnoliopsida; Solanales; Solanaceae. The record is from RNAcentral.
AAAAAUUACAUAUUAGCAAAAUUAAAAUAGGCAAUAUUAAAAAUAAUCUGACCCAAAAUAGGAAGAGAAAAACACAGUUGAUGGCCGAGAAUACCAUGACCGGCAUAAUCUGUAACCAACUUUAACUUCAAUACAUCUAAAAUGAAAGCUUUUUUGCUUUCAGAUCUCGAUGGAUGACAUCCCAUGGCAGGUUUUCAUUAACUUGUCUGUUAAUACUUCAUUUGCUUCGAUUCCUCCUCCAAAAAAAUACAUUUACCUAGAUUAAAAUGUGGUUGUGGUGGUGGGAGCCUAGAUAUGAUAAAGAGGAGGAACUAACAGGUGAUAAAGGUAAAGUUUGAUAAAGAAAAAGGCAAUGAUGGUAGUUAUCCGACUUGAAGAAGGAGGAGACAGUGGUGGUGAUGAUAUGGUAGCAACGCCGAAUCUGAAGACGAAAAAGAUAGUUGUGAUGUUAGUGGUCCAGAUCUGAAAAAAGAAAGUAAGUGGUGGAGAUGGCCAGAGAAGAAGAAAAUAGGUUGAAAAUUGUUUAGAAAAAGGUAACUGUCGGAGAUUACUUUCCCGGCAAAAAACUAUGCAUUUUCUGGUGAACAAUAUACAAUAUUAGCUUUU